GGCUUGCCACUGUUCCCACACGGCUAAGUGUCCGGGUUCGUCCUAAUCAAGCUGAACACUAGUCACUGGGUUCCACGGUUCUCUUCCAUGACCCACGGCUUCUAAUAGAGCUAUAACACUCACUGCAUGGCCCAAGAUUCCAUUCCUUGGAAUCCGUGAGGCCAAGAACCCCAGGUCAGAGAACACGAGGCUUGCCACCAUCUUGGAAGCAGCCCGCCGCCAUUUUGGAAGUGGCCCACCACCAUCUUGGGAGCUCUGGGAGCAAGGACCACCUGGUAACAAUAGGCCAAAUACUGUGCUGAUAAGCUUGAAAGCCUGCCCUGAAUCCUCAUCUAUUGAUGGAGAUGGUGUCAUCUUGCCUUGAUUGUAUCCAGAAGCUUCAUCCCCAAGAUAAAGGAUGGACAUCUCUCCGAUGACCAGCUUCUUUUGCUCGACUCUAGAGAAGGUUGCUUUCUGCAUUCUGGCAACUGCCCUCUGUCUACAUGAUUAGACUCGUUGGUUGCAGUGCUUUCUGGAGUAAUGAAGGGAUCCAGUGCACAGGGUUUAACUUACUGGGCACAAUCUCUAAGCCAACUCUGCCUGAAUGGGUCCCCUGUUUUUUCUCUUCUGCUCUUGUUGAACCAUAUCUCUGUUCCUUGUGCUCCUGGGAAUUUCUUGCUCUGGUCAUGAAAAAAAUGGAAACUCUCUCAAGGAAUAACAAUCAGAGCUGUCUGGUUGACAAGGGACAUUAUGGUUGCAAGAAGACCCUGAAGCAAGGAUUCUACAUCAAAGAUUCAGGGGCAAUCUGAGUUUGCAUUUAAGAUCCUUCUGCCU
RNAcentral lists this long non-coding RNA (813 nucleotides) under Homo sapiens (human). RNAcentral describes it as "long independently transcribed non-coding RNA 1795 (LINC01795)". Lineage: Eukaryota; Metazoa; Chordata; Mammalia; Primates; Hominidae. The record is from RNAcentral.